Molecule: long non-coding RNA, 389 nt
Filed under: Physcomitrium patens
Lineage: Eukaryota; Viridiplantae; Streptophyta; Bryopsida; Funariales; Funariaceae
Description: long non-coding RNA (PPAT_LNC009406)
Source: RNAcentral
AUUUUAUAGGUUGUGGAUUAUCCUCCUAUAAACCAAUAUUGCUUCUUAUAGGGUCAUUUUUGUCCUUCUUUUAGAAUGGUCGGAGGUCAAGACAUUAGUAUGACAGAAAGUUCGGAGUCUAAGUUAGAUGCUAUUAUGAAUGCCCUCGCUACGUUAUCACAAAGAACUGCAGAGAUUAAAGGAGUAGUGGCAAGGCUUCAUAAUGAUGGAGUAUCUGGGAUAGUACAAUCUAAACUACACCAGCCUCAAACUUCGACCCUUGGAGAAACAACUUUAUCUCAAGUUCGACAAGAACCACUAGUUCUACAACAUAAGGAGCGUCGAGUUAGCCUUCUAGAUAAGUUUGAUGGAACACGUUCCAAGUUUCGAUGAUUAGUCAAUCAAAUCAG